AGUGAACGUUGGCGGCGUGGAUUAGGCAUGCAAGUCGAGCGAGAACCGUAGCAAUACGGGGACAGCGGCGAAAGGGACAGUAAUGUGUAGGUACCUACCCCGAGGUCUGGGAUAGCUGCGGGAAACUGCAGGUAAUACCGGAUAAUGUCUUCGGACCAAAGGUGUGAUUCCACCUUGGGAGGGGCCUGCAUCCUAUUAGCUUGUUGGCGGGGUAACGGCCCACCAAGGCGACGAUGGGUAGCGGGUGUGAGAGCACGACCCGCGUCACUGGGACUGAGAUACUGCCCAGACACCUACGGGUGGCUGCAGUCGAGGAUCUUCGGCAAUGGGCGAAAGCCUGACCGAGCGACGCCGCGUGCGGGAUGAAGGCCUUCGGGUUGUAAACCGCUGUCGUAGAGGAGGAAAUGCAGGGGGGUUCUCCCUUCUGUUUGACCUAUUCUAGGAGGAAGGACGGGCUAAGUUCGUGCCAGCCGCCGCGGUAA
This 482-nucleotide ribosomal RNA is filed under the name uncultured bacterium. RNAcentral's name for it is "partial 16S ribosomal RNA". It matches the Rfam family "Bacterial small subunit ribosomal RNA", at positions 28 to 523 of the family's 1533-position model. The record is from RNAcentral.